ACACCCAGAAUGAUGCCAUCUACCGCCCGUUCACGACGCUACUGACCAUCACGUUGUUUCCUGUUGGGGGAGGUGUAACACCCGGUUAUUAGCACAUGGAUCAAGCGCCAAUUGCUGGUCAAAACACCAUUAGCCAUGGCCCACUCGUCAUCCACCCUUCCAUCCUUGCCCAUCCCAUUUCCCUGUUCGGCACAGGGCAAGGCAUGGCCAUCGGCCAGCUGCCUCCCCUCUCGAAGCUACUCUGCUGUGCUGUGCUGGCCGGCCGCACACCGCGCGCGCUGGGCCACGCCCGUCCCGCGCGCAUGCCUCUAGCCAGACUGACUGUUAGCAAAGUAAGCAGGAGACUGAAGCAACCGGCCAGGAGCACGGCUUAAGAGUGAAGAAGCCCAACAGGAAGGUCCUCGGCCCAGAAUGGGUGAACUGAGUAGUAUAUAUAUUAGCUGAGAGAGACGAGAGCAGGGAUGUAUGAACACUCAAACUAUUCCCCAAGUAAUUUGACCUCCUCCGAUCCCAAUUCCUGCUAGCCUGUCCCCAAUUCUGUUCUUCCUUCCAAUCCACGUUACCCUGCUGGCUCUUAUAUCUGGUAUCAGAGACUAGAUCCCUUGCGACCUGGAUCUGCACCACCAUUAUACCCGUCUGCAGAAAUCUCGCGGCGCUAUGGAUCCCAGUUUCAAGCUUCUGCUCGAUGAGAUGAAGAAGUUGGGGGGAUCGAUUCGCCCUUGUUGAAGCCCGCGUCGACAGUCUGGAGGGCUCCUUCCGCGACCAGUUCAAGGCUGUCGAGCAGUCCGCCUCCGAUCUACAGGCGUGGCGGCCGGGAAUUGAUUCCUCCAUCGCGGAUCUCUCCUCCAAGCUCAGCGCCGUCGACGACCUCCACGACAAGCUGGGUUCCCUCUCCAGCAAGCUGGAUCGAGUGGUUCUCGAUCGUCUUCCACCGGGGGGCGGCAUCCUGCCGAACCCCAUGGCGGCUGCGACGACUACACCUGCCGGCAACCCGGCCGUCGGCCCCACUGGGCACUGCAUCGAGAAUCCAUACCGGGAGCCUGGGUUUGGGUCGGUCACGACCAUCUCCCACCUCCCGGUCACGGGUAUAGGAGCUAACCCGGAUUCACAUCGGUGGGCUCGAUGUGACGUCCUCACGUCUCUAUAGUUAUCGUUUCAUUUCAUUUUAUUUCAGUUGGUUUCUAAUGAAAAUCUUCCUCAGGAGGAUCUCUAUUCUGGGCGCUACAAAGCUGCAUGUGUGGAUCCUGGAAUUGCCUGUGGUCAGAUCAGAUGUGUGUUUCGAUCGGGGUCUUCUGCAACAGUCUUUUGGUACGUGCAGCGUAUAGGAGCACAGUGUGUUGGGUGUGGCUCCACUCUAGUUGCAGAAGAAGAGCAUACUCUGAGAGCAAUGUUUUGAAGGAAGUUUGGUGAUCCAUGUGGCCUGAGGUUGCACAAAAAGAUGAUGACACUAGUGGUGCUAGUUCAUCAAUAGGUGGUGUGAACCUUCUACACAUGCCGCAUAAACUGGGGGCAUUUCCGUUUACUUUCAACCUUAAUCUAUCUCAGAAUUUGAGC
Long non-coding RNA from Panicum virgatum (switchgrass), 1554 nucleotides. RefSeq lists it as uncharacterized. The transcript is spliced from 3 exons. NCBI's taxonomy places the organism in Eukaryota, Viridiplantae, Streptophyta, Magnoliopsida, Poales, Poaceae. The record is from RefSeq and is a predicted model, not a curated record.